This 497-nucleotide ribosomal RNA is filed under the name uncultured bacterium. RNAcentral's name for it is "partial 16S ribosomal RNA". It matches the Rfam family "Bacterial small subunit ribosomal RNA", at positions 28 to 507 of the family's 1533-position model. The record is from RNAcentral.
GAUGAACGCUGGCGGCGUGCCUAAUACAUGCAAGUCGAGCGAACAGAUGAGGAGCUUGCUCCUCUGACGUUAGCGGCGGACGGGUGAGUAACACGUGGAUAACCUACCUAUAAGACUGGGAUAACUUCGGGAAACCGGAGCUAAUACCGGAUAAUAUAUUGAACCGCAUGGUUCAAUAGUGAAAGACGGUUUUGCUGUCACUUAUAGAUGGAUCCGCGCCGCAUUAGCUAGUUGGUAAGGUAACGGCUUACCAAGGCAACGAUGCGUAGCCGACCUGAGAGGGUGAUCGGCCACACUGGAACUGAGACACGGUCCAGACUCCUACGGGAGGCAACAGUAGGGAAUCUUCCGCAAUGGGCGAAAGCCUGACGGAGCAACGCCGCGUGAGUGAUGAAGGUCUUCGGAUCGUAAAACUCUGUUACUAGGGAAGAACAAAUGUGUAAGUAACUAUGCACGUCUUGACGGUACCUAAUCAGAAAGCCACGGCUAACUACGUG